Hibiscus syriacus is the source of this 432-nucleotide long non-coding RNA. RefSeq lists it as uncharacterized. The transcript is spliced from 3 exons. Lineage: Eukaryota; Viridiplantae; Streptophyta; Magnoliopsida; Malvales; Malvaceae. The record is from RefSeq and is a predicted model, not a curated record.
AGAAAAAUAGCUUUGCCUAAUAUUUUUAUUGUUUGCUUGUGAAUUCAACAGCCAUCUUCCUGCGUGUUUGGCUUCCGAGAAAGAUUUCCUUUGGUUAAAGCUCUUGAGCUAUUAUCAGUUCAUUUUUUUGAUCCGAUCAGACUCGCUGAGUCAGUUUUUCCUCGACUCGGUCGUGUGUCGGAUGAGUAGAUAGAAGGAAGAUCGCUGUGUAUAAUCGCCAUGGCUGCUCCUGUUAACAUUAUUGUAGGCUCUCAUGUAUGGGUUGAAGAUCCAACACUCGCAUGGAUUGAUGGGGAAGUUUUAAAAUCAGUGGCGAAGAAGUUCAUGUCAACACAACAAAUGGAAAAACUGCUGUGGUAAAUAUCUCAAAGGUUUAUCCAAAAGAUACUGAAGCACCUCCCGGAGGUGUUGAUGACAUGACAAAGCUCUCAU